RNAcentral lists this ribosomal RNA (582 nucleotides) under Triticum aestivum (bread wheat). RNAcentral's name for it is "partial small subunit ribosomal RNA". The record is from RNAcentral. Lineage: Eukaryota; Viridiplantae; Streptophyta; Magnoliopsida; Poales; Poaceae.
AUGCAUAGCAACAACAAAAACUCUGGCGACGCUGCAUCGCAGCACCGGCGACUCCGCGGCCCAACGACCGCCGCGGCGCUUCACCACAACCUCGUCGAAGCUUCACUGCAACCUCGCCGGAGCUCCAAGAACCGCCGUGGCGCUUCAUUGCAACCUCGCCGGAGCUUCAUUGCAACCUCAGCCGUGCUCCAUGGUAGCACCCCGACGGCCGCCGGCGAAGCUUCAUUGCAGCGUUGCAACACCGGUGCGCGAGCAGAACAAACUCCUGUGUGCUGCGUUGCAGCGCCGGCGAGGCCGUGUCGCAGCACCGGCGAGUCGCAGCGCCGGCGGCAUUCGAGUCAACGACGACGCUGCGUUGCAGCACCGGCGGUCGUCGCCAACAAUCACCGCGUCUCGGUGCCGCGUGUGGAUCUUGAGCAGCAGCAGCAGGUGAAGCUUGGGAAGCAGGCCACCGCGGGCAGCACUAGGACGGAGGCCAUGGCGAUGUGUGCGGGGACGAAGGGGAUCCAGCGCCGUGGAUUUUGUGGAGAUAAGGCCGGUAGAAACCAGCAGAUGGGGGAAAAGGAGACGAAAGGGGAUUGA